This 194-nucleotide non-coding RNA is filed under the name Secundilactobacillus mixtipabuli. RNAcentral's name for it is "Lactobacillus mixtipabuli Bacterial small subunit ribosomal RNA". It matches the Rfam family "Bacterial small subunit ribosomal RNA", at positions 1 to 173 of the family's 1533-position model. Lineage: Bacteria; Bacillati; Bacillota; Bacilli; Lactobacillales; Lactobacillaceae. The record is from Rfam by way of RNAcentral.
UAAAUUGAGAGUUUGAUCCUGGCUCAGGACGAACGCUGGCGGCGUGCCUAAUACAUGCAAGUCGAACGCAUCCCGAUGAAUUGAAGUGCUUGCACUGAUUUUCAGCAUUGGAUGAGUGGCGAACUGGUGAGUAACACGUGGGUAACCUGCCCAGAAGCAGGGGAUAACACUUGGAAACAGGUGCUAAUACCGUA